This 187-nucleotide small RNA is filed under the name Oryza sativa Japonica Group (Japanese rice). Its description in RNAcentral is "sRNA Os08g0301551". Lineage: Eukaryota; Viridiplantae; Streptophyta; Magnoliopsida; Poales; Poaceae. The record is from RNAcentral.
AUGUUCUUCUUAGGAUCUGGACGAGCAAGAGCUAGAAUCAUGGGCUUGCGAGGGUUGGAGAAGAAUCGCAUUAUAUCAGCCCAAAUAGGUGGAUCUGUUGAACCUGAACCAUCUUCAUUAGCUUCUUCACCAUCCUGAUCAACAUCAUGAGGCACUAUAUGGCUAAACUCCAUGCCAGGAGGAACUG